Molecule: long non-coding RNA, 254 nt
Filed under: Linum usitatissimum (flax)
Lineage: Eukaryota; Viridiplantae; Streptophyta; Magnoliopsida; Malpighiales; Linaceae
Description: long non-coding RNA (LUSI_LNC000587)
Source: RNAcentral
UCCGUUAGGCAUCUCAGGCGGUUCCGUGAAUCGCCUCUGUGUUCGAAACGGAUACAAGCGGAAAUAAUUGGGCGCCAUAACUUCUCCAAGGAUUCCUUCCCUUUUGUGUGUUCCUAAGAAUUCCGUUUGAUUUCCAAAGCGCCGGAUGUUACCGCGGCAGAGACGUCCGUCGCCGGCAGUCACGCUGACUUCUCGGAGCGAGGCGCACAACGGCGUUGGUACAUCCAAUGCGGCUACGCCAAACCCUAGGAGUG